CGAACACCGACACGGACAGCGGGCCCUCCCAGCGCUCCAGCAGACCCGACAGGUGCAGCAGGUUGUCCACGCUGGCGUGCGUGGCCAGGAUCACAUCGUUGGGGUCCAUGGUGGUCUUCAGCAGGCCCCUGUAGACGCGGUAAUCGCCGCUAGCGUCCAGGACGCCUCCAGAGGCCAGCGCGGUGCGGAGCUGCGCCUUGACCUGGUCCACGGACCGUGGGGACGGGGGAAAGAACUCAAAAUAUUGGUCUUGCUCCUCCUGCCCGUGCAGUCCGGACAGCAGCGACAGGUAGAGCAGCUGCAGCAUCGCCACCAGCAUGAGCGCGGCCAGCAGCAGCUGGUAGAAGGCGCACCGGAUGGCGUAGGACAUCUGCAUGGCUCUCGGGGCUCGGGGCGCGCAGCAACGACCACCCGGCCACAGACUACGCCAGCGGCCGCAAGCCCGGAUUUACCGCAGCCUGCCGAGCGCAGCCGAGGCGAGCCGAGGCCAGCCGAGCCCCGAGCGCCGCCCCGCCCGCCGCCCGCCGCCCGCCGCCCGCCGCCCGCCACCGCCCCCAGCCCCCGGCGCGCCGGCUCGCCCCCUACGAGGGAGGAGGAGCCACGGCCCCGCCGCUCGGCCGCGCGCCGUGCAGACGCCCGCCCGCCCGGGCCCCGCCGGCUUCCCGGGACGCACUCCUCUCCCUCCCCGCCGGCGCGCGCACCCUGGACCGGGCGCGCCCUGAACGCGCGGCGCGCUCGGCCGGACUCGGAGGGAAACCGCGGCAGAGCUCGGCUGCAGCGUGGUAAAGGAUGGCGCGGGCUCAGCAGAAAGGAAAUCAAAACGCUCCCUUCCUUCCGCGGCUUCUUCUUUCCCUGUGUCCGAAGAGGUCUGCGUUGCGACUUACGUGGUAGUGCUUGGAAGGUGCGGAGUAGAUGAGAGAUAAGUGAAUGUGGACAAACCUGUCACGUAGGACGAGGUGGCCGAGUGGUUAAGGCGAUGGACUGCUAAUCCAUUGUGCUUUGCACGCGUGGGUUCGAAUCCCAUCCUCGUCGGCCCUGUUUUAUAGAGGUUGGGGGGGAAGCAUCUACAUUUUCACAUCCUGCCUAUUUGGAGCAGCAAGCUGGAGGUGCGAGGGGUGAGGCAUCUAAAUUUUCACAUCCUGCCUGUGGAGCAGCAAGCUGAAGAAAACUGAACUGGGGAUUGAAGGUGGCGGGUUCCUGUAGUCCCAGCUACUCAGGAGGCUGAGGCAGGAGAAUGGCAUGAACCCGGGAGGCAGAGCUUGCAGUGAGCCGAGAUCGUGCCACUGCACUCCAGCCUGGGUGACAGAGCGAAACUCCGUCUC
RNAcentral lists this long non-coding RNA (1322 nucleotides) under Homo sapiens (human). RNAcentral's name for it is "long non-coding RNA NONHSAT159267.1". The stretch from base 951 to 1032 matches the Rfam family "tRNA". The record is from RNAcentral. Lineage: Eukaryota; Metazoa; Chordata; Mammalia; Primates; Hominidae.